AAGGAUUCCCCUAGUAACGGCGAGUGAAGAGGGAAAAGCCCAAGAUUGAAAGCUGGCGUCUUCGGCGUCCGCAUUGUAAUCUCAAGAAGCAUUUUCCGCUUCGGACCAAGCCUAAGUCCCUUGGAAAAGGGCAUCGUAGAGGGUGAGAAUCCCGUACAUGGCUUGGAGCGCCCGAGGCUUUGUGAUAUGCAUUCUAAGAGUCGAGUUGUUUGGGAAUGCAGCUCAAAAUGGGUGGUAAAUGCCAUCUAAGGCUAAAUAUUGGGGAGAGACCGAUAGCGAACAAGUACCGUGAGGGAAAGAUGAAAAGAACUUUGAAAAGAGAGUUAAACAGUACGUGAAAUUGCCAAAAGGGAAGGGUAGGAGGUCAGAGAUGCGGCGUGGGAUUCAGCCUUGCUUUUGCUUGGUGUUUUUCCCUCAUUGCAGGCCAACGUCGGUUUUGGGCACUGGAGAAGGGUGAGAGGAAUGUGGCACUCUUCGGGGUGUGUUAUAGCCUCUCACUGGAUACAGCGACCGGGACCGAGGAACGCAGCGUACUCGAAAGAGCGGGCCUUCGGGCACCUUUACGCUUAGGGCGUUGGCAUAAUGGCCCUCUACCAC
Molecule: ribosomal RNA, 597 nt
Filed under: Farysia sp. BI235
Lineage: Eukaryota; Fungi; Basidiomycota; Ustilaginomycetes; Ustilaginales; Ustilaginaceae
Description: eukaryotic LSU rRNA
Rfam family: Eukaryotic large subunit ribosomal RNA
Source: RNAcentral